GGGAGCGUGGCGGAAUUGGCAGACGCGCUGGACUUAGAAUCCAGUAUUGAAAGAUGUAUGAGUUCAAGUCUCUUCGCUCCCACCA
This 85-nucleotide transfer RNA is filed under the name Christensenellaceae bacterium. RNAcentral's name for it is "tRNA-Leu". It matches the Rfam family "tRNA". From Rfam's summary of the family: Transfer RNA (tRNA) molecules are approximately 80 nucleotides in length. Their secondary structure includes four short double-helical elements and three loops (D, anti-codon, and T loops). Further hydrogen bonds mediate the characteristic L-shaped molecular structure. tRNAs have two regions of fundamental functional importance: the anti-codon, which is responsible for specific mRNA codon recognition, and the 3' end, to which the tRNAs corresponding amino acid is attached (by aminoacyl-tRNA synthetases). tRNAs cope with the degeneracy of the genetic code in two manners: having more than one tRNA (with a specific anti-codon) for a particular amino acid; and 'wobble' base-pairing, i.e. permitting non-standard base-pairing at the 3rd anti-codon position. The record is from RNAcentral. Lineage: Bacteria; Bacillati; Bacillota; Clostridia; Christensenellales; Christensenellaceae.